This 1254-nucleotide ribosomal RNA is filed under the name Neoparacardicola nasonis. Its description in RNAcentral is "eukaryotic LSU rRNA". It matches the Rfam family "Eukaryotic large subunit ribosomal RNA", at positions 64 to 933 of the family's 3401-position model. The record is from RNAcentral. Lineage: Eukaryota; Metazoa; Platyhelminthes; Trematoda; Strigeidida; Aporocotylidae.
ACUAACCAGGAUUCCCCUAGUAACGGCGAGUGAACCGGGAUCAGCCCAGCACCGAAGCCUGUAGCUGUUUGGCUGCAAGGCAAUGUGGUGUUUAGAUUGGUUCUUGGCAUGUUUGCUCUGUCCUAAGUCCAUUAAUGAGUGCGGCUAGUUGACUGGCCCAAAGAGGGUGAAAGGCCCGUGAGGAUAGAGACCAAGUGUGACAGAUGUGCUUUGAGCUGAUUUUGGAGUCGGGUUGUUUGUGAAUGCAGCCCAAAGUGGGUGGUAGACUCCAUCCAAGGCUAAAUACUGGCACGAAUCCGAUAGCAAACAAGUACCGUGAGGGAAAGUUGAAAAGUACUUUGAAGAGAGAGUAAACAGUGCGUGAAACCGCUCAGAGGUAAACGGGUGGAGUUGAACUGGAAUUCUUGGCAAUUUAACUGAUGAGUGUGAUGUGUGUUUGGGCAUUGUAGCCAUUGGACAGAGUUUGCUUAAGCGUAAGCCUAGGCCCUUUCGGUCUGGGUGCGAUUGGCACUGGUCAUGUGCUGUGCGCUCUGUUUAAAUUGGGUUUGCUUGUCAGUGCAUUUUGUCAGGAUGAUCACCACGACCGGCGUGAAUGCCUAUUUGUUGUAGUUAAACCGGUCGGGUAUAGUUGAAAUAACUGUGCUCGGUCGGGAUGGCAGGUAGCUUGCUUGCUUUUAGGAAGUAAGUAGGCGUUAAUUAGCUGACUGCAGCAGAUUUGUGCAACAUGUCGGAGAUGACGGCUUGGUUGGGCACGUUGUUUGAACAAUGCAAUUGAGUUUGAUUGGCGUGUAUUUGUUUCGGCAAGUCCGUCAGUAGCUUGGUUGUGUUGGUUGAAUAAUGGUCUGGCUAGUAGUUUGGGCCUAUAGUCUGUGGUGUAGUGGUAGAUUGUCCACCCGACCCGUCUUGAAACACGGACCAAGGAGUUUAACUUGCGCGCGAGUCAUUGGGCGUUACGAAACCCACAGGCGUAAUGAAAGUAAAGGUCCGAUUAAUUCGGACUUAGGUGAGAUCCCGUUGUGUCUAAAUACUAUCAAACGUUAGUGCAGCGGGCGCAUCACCAGCCCGUCCCAUGGUGUGUUUGUAGAGUUUCGGCUUUAUGUAUUAUCGGGGCGGAGCCAGAGCGCGCAGGUUGAGACCCGAAAGAUGGUGAACUAUGCUUGUGUAGGUUGAAGCCAGAGGAAACUCUGGUGGAGGACCGUAGCGAUUCUGACGUGCAAAUCGAUCGUAAAAUGUGAGUAUAGGGGCGAAAGACUA